RNAcentral lists this ribosomal RNA (322 nucleotides) under uncultured bacterium. RNAcentral's name for it is "bacterial SSU rRNA". It matches the Rfam family "Bacterial small subunit ribosomal RNA", at positions 30 to 355 of the family's 1533-position model. The record is from RNAcentral.
AUUGAACGCUGGCGGCAUGCCUUACACAUGCAAGUCGAACGCGAAAGGGGGGCAACUCCUGAGUAGAGUGGCGCACGGGUGAGUAAUGCAUCGGAACGUGUCCUGUAGCGGGGGAUAACCUAGCGAAAGCUAGGCUAAUACCGCAUACGCCCUGAGGGGGAAAGUGGGGAUCGUAAGACCUCACACUAUAGGAGUGGCCGAUGCCGGAUUAGCUAGUUGGUGGGGUAAAGCCUACCAAGGCGACGAUCCGUAGCUGGUCUGAGAGGAUGAUCAGCCACACUGGGACUGAGACACGGCCCAGACUCCUACGGGAGGCAGCAGU